This 411-nucleotide long non-coding RNA is filed under the name Elaeis guineensis (African oil palm). Its description in RNAcentral is "long non-coding RNA (EGUI_LNC028039)". The record is from RNAcentral. Lineage: Eukaryota; Viridiplantae; Streptophyta; Magnoliopsida; Arecales; Arecaceae.
UUUCUAAAUACUAUUAUAAGUUUUAUGAAGGAUCUUACCAGUGAAAAGAUUCUUUCUUCUUUCUUUUUCUAUAUGCCUCUCAUCCUUCAUGGCUUCUAUUAUCUUCAUCCACUACAUCUGAGGAUCAAGCUAAAUCCGCCAACCUUUUUUGGCAAUCUUUCCUUCUUCCUAAGGAUUUACAUGUCGGUUCGAUCAUCGAACCAACCGAAAACAAUAGUUGUUUAGCUGAACAAUACUCUCCUAGCCUAGUAGCCCAUCAGUUUGGUCUAACCCAACCUAUAUCAUGUCCUCUUUUGCUCUCCCUAAACCAUGAUCCAUUCAAUUGAAAUUUCAUUAUUGAUCCCACCAUCAUCGAGUUAGCUGAUUUCAUUUACAAUCAGUCAUAUGCUAUCUUUAAAUUCCAUCCUUUUG